GACGAACGCUGGCGGCGUGCCUAACACAUGCAAGUCGAACGGAGUAAGUAGUAAUACUUACUUAGUGGCGAACGGGUGAGUAACGCGUAGAUAACCUGCCUCUAAACUGGGGACAACACAGCGAAGGUGGUGCUAAUACCGAAUGUGGUAACUUGGCUGCAUGGCGGAGUUAAGAAAGGUGGCCUCUAUUUAUAAGCUACCGUGUAGAGAUGGGUCUGCGGCCGAUUAGCUAGUUGGUGAGGUAAAAGCUCACCAAGGCGACGAUCAGUAGCCGGUCUGAGAGGAUGAACGGCCACACUGGGACUGAGACACGGCCCAGACUCCUACGGGAGGCAGCGGUGGGGAAUCUUCCGCAAUGGACGAAAGUCUGACGGAGCAACGCCGCGUGAGUGAAGAAGGUUUUCGGAUCGUAAAGCUCUGUCGUUUGGGACGAACGUGUUCUUUGUGAAUAAUGAGGAACAAUGACGGUACCAAAGGAGGAAGCCACGGCUAACUACGUGCCAGCCGCCGCAGUAA
RNAcentral lists this ribosomal RNA (516 nucleotides) under uncultured bacterium. Its description in RNAcentral is "partial 16S ribosomal RNA". It matches the Rfam family "Bacterial small subunit ribosomal RNA", at positions 28 to 523 of the family's 1533-position model. The record is from RNAcentral.